UACGUAGGGUCCGAGCGUUGUCCGGAAUUAUUGGGCGUAAAGGGCUCGUAGGCGGUUUGUCGCGUCGGGAGUGAAAACACCGGGCUUAACUCGGUGCUUGCUUUCGAUACGGGCAGACUUGAGGCAUGCAGGGGAGAACGGAAUUCCUGGUGUAGCGGUGAAAUGCGCAGAUAUCAGGAGGAACACCGGUGGCGAAGGCGGUUCUCUGGACAGUUCCUGACGCUGAGGCACGAAGGUCAGGGGAGCAAACGGG
Molecule: ribosomal RNA, 253 nt
Filed under: uncultured bacterium
Lineage: Bacteria
Description: partial 16S ribosomal RNA
Rfam family: Bacterial small subunit ribosomal RNA
Source: RNAcentral